This 315-nucleotide ribosomal RNA is filed under the name Triticum aestivum (bread wheat). Its description in RNAcentral is "partial small subunit ribosomal RNA". Lineage: Eukaryota; Viridiplantae; Streptophyta; Magnoliopsida; Poales; Poaceae. The record is from RNAcentral.
AUGGAAUCCAAGUUCUUUCGGUUCCUGAAGCUUGUCGGAGUUGGUUUCAAAGCAAGGACAGAGCAAGGAGGCCGUGAGUUGUUUCUGAAACUUGGCUACAGCCACGAGGUGCAGUUCACCGCUCCACCCGCCGUCCGUGUCUUCUGCUUCAAACCCAACAUAAUAUGCUGCACUGGCAUCGACAAGCACAGGGUGCACCAUUUCGCGGGAGCCGUCCGAAGCAGUAAACCUCCGGAAGUGUACAAGGGGAAGGGCAUACUGUACAUCGAUGAGGUCAUAAAGCUGAAGCCGGGGAAGAAGCAGCAGAAGAAGUAA